This 725-nucleotide ribosomal RNA is filed under the name uncultured bacterium. Its description in RNAcentral is "bacterial SSU rRNA". It matches the Rfam family "Bacterial small subunit ribosomal RNA", at positions 67 to 839 of the family's 1533-position model. The record is from RNAcentral.
CGCCCUCUUCGGAGGGAGUGGCAGACGGGUGAGUAACGCGUGGGAAUCUACCUAGUGGUGGAGGAUAACUUCGGGAAACCGGAGCUAAUACUCCAUAAGCCCUUCGGGGGAAAGUUUUUUCGCCAUUAGAUGAGCCCGCGUUAGAUUAGCUUGUUGGUAGGGUAAUGGCCUACCAAGGCGACGAUCUAUAGCUGGUCUGAGAGGAUGAUCAGCCACACUGGAACUGAGACACGGUCCAGACUCCUACGGGAGGCAGCAGUGGGGAAUAUUGCACAAUGGGCGCAAGCCUGAUGCAGCCAUGCCGCGUGUGUGAUGAAGGCCUUAGGGUUGUAAAACACUUUCAUCGGUGAAGAUAAUGACGGUAGCCGAAGAAGAAGCCCCGGCUAACUCCGUGCCAGCAGCCGCGGUAAUACGGAGGGGGCAAGCGUUGUUCGGAAUUACUGGGCGUAAAGCGCACGUAGGCGGACUGAUCAGUUGGGGGUGAAAUCCCGAGGCUUAACCUCGGAACUGCCUUCAAUACUGUCAGUCUUGAGAUCGGAAGAGGUGAGUGGAAUUCCUAGUGUAGAGGUGAAAUUCGUAGAUAUUAGGAAGAACACCAGUGGCGAAGGCGGCUCACUGGUCCGAUACUGACGCUGAGGUGCGAAAGCGUGGGGAGCGAACAGGAUUAGAUACCCUGGUAGUCCACGCCGUUAACGAUGAGAGCUAGCCGUCGGACAGUAUACUGU